Molecule: non-coding RNA, 308 nt
Organism: Paramuricea clavata
Lineage: Eukaryota; Metazoa; Cnidaria; Anthozoa; Malacalcyonacea; Plexauridae
Source: the annotation of a GenBank genome assembly
CACCUGGAGAAAAUAGGGUUGCACGGUCAAUCGCGUUGAAAAAAUAAUAGGGUCGGCAGAAUAAAAUAGGGUCGGUCGGGAACCGGAACCACAGGUAUUUUUUUUUACGCCUAAUUACUUCUGAUAUCAGUGUUCAGUGGGUCCCUAUGUUUCCUAUUUGCUAAUUUCCUAACAGCGUGUCUUUUAAGUCAGCAUUCUUUAUCAAACCAUUUUUUAUUAGUAGUGUUUCUAAUUUUACAGCGUUUUUUUUGUUUUCUUUAUCUUUAGAGAGUUCUUUCCAGCUUCUUGUAUAAUGUUUUGGAAUGUAU